CCUACGGUGGGCAGCAGUGAGGAAUAUUGGUCAAUGGCCGGAAGGCUGAACCAGCCAUGCCGCGUGAAGGUCAGUGCCCUAUGGGCGUUAAACUUCUUUUGUGCGGGAGCAAUAAUGGGCACGUGUGGCCAGACGAGAGUACCGUACGAAUAAGCAUCGGCUAACUCCGUGCCAGCAGCGGCGGUGAUACGGGGGAUGCAAGCGUUAUCCGGAUUUAUUGGGUGUAAAGGGUGCGUAGGCUGUGAGGUAAGUCAGCGGGGAAAUGCCCCCGGUCAACGGGGUGAAGUGCCAUUGAUAUUGGCUUGCUGGAAUGCGGAUGCCGUGGGAGGAAUGUGUGGUGUAGCGGUGAAAUGCAUAGAUAUCACGCAGAACACCGAUUGCGAAGGCAUCUCACGAAUCCGCGAUUGACGCUGAUGCACGAAAGCGUGGGUAUCAAACAGGAUUAGAUACCCUGGUAGUC
This 460-nucleotide ribosomal RNA is filed under the name uncultured bacterium. RNAcentral describes it as "partial 16S ribosomal RNA". It matches the Rfam family "Bacterial small subunit ribosomal RNA", at positions 338 to 795 of the family's 1533-position model. The record is from RNAcentral.